GGAUGAACGCUAGCUACAGGCUUAACACAUGCUAGUUGAGGGGCAGCAUGGUCUUAGCUUGCUAAGGCCGAUGGCGACCGGCGCACGGGUGAGUAACACGUAUCCAACCUGCCGUCUACUCUUGGACAGCCUUCUGAAAGGAAGAUUAAUACAAGAUGGCAUCAUGAGUCCGCAUGUUCACAUGAUUAAAGGUAUUCCGGUAGACGAUGGGGAUGCGUUCCAUUAGAUAGUAGGCGGGGUAACGGCCCACCUAGUCUUCGAUGGAUAGGGGUUCUGAGAGGAAGGUCCCCCACAUUGGAACUGAGACACGGUCCAAACUCCUACGGGAGGCAGCAGUGAGGAAUAUUGGUCAAUGGGCGAGAGCCUGAACCAGCCAAGUAGCGUGAAGGAUGACUGCCCUAUGGGUUGUAAACUUCUUUUAUAAAGGAAUAAAGUCGGGUAUGCAUACCCGUUUGCAUGUACUUUAUGAAUAAGGAUCGGCUAACUCCGUGCCAGCAGCCGCGGUAAUACGGAGGAUCCGAGCGUUAUCCGGAUUUAUUGGGUUUAAAGGGAGCGUAGAUGGAUGUUUAAGUCAGUUGUGAAAGUUUGCGGCUCAACCGUAAAAUUGCAGUUGAUACUGGAUAUCUUGAGUGCAGUUGAGGCAGGCGGAAUUCGUGGUGUAGCGGUGAAAUGCUUAGAUAUCACGAAGAACUCCGAUUGCGAAGGCAGCCUGCUAAGCUGCAACUGACAUUGAGGCUCGAAAGUGUGGGUAUCAAACAGGAUUAGAUACCCUGGUAGUCCACACGGUAAACGAUGAAUACUCGCUGUUUGCGAUAUACGGCAAGCGGCCAAGCGAAAGCGUUAAGUAUUCCACCUGGGGAGUACGCCGGCAACGGUGAAACUCAAAGGAAUUGACGGGGGCCCGCACAAGCGGAGGAACAUGUGGUUUAAUUCGAUGAUACGCGAGGAACCUUACCCGGGCUUAAAUUGCAGAUGAAUUACGGUGAAAGCCGUAAGCCGCAAGGCAUCUGUGAAGGUGCUGCAUGGUUGUCGUCAGCUCGUGCCGUGAGGUGUCGGCUUAAGUGCCAUAACGAGCGCAACCCUUGUUGUCAGUUACUAACAGGUCAUGCUGAGGACUCUGACAAGACUGCCAUCGUAAGAUGUGAGGAAGGUGGGGAUGACGUCAAAUCAGCACGGCCCUUACGUCCGGGGCUACACACGUGUUACAAUGGGGGGUACAGAGGGCCGCUACCACGCGAGUGGAUGCCAAUCCCAAAAACCUCUCUCAGUUCGGACUGGAGUCUGCAACCCGACUCCACGAAGCUGGAUUCGCUAGUAAUCGCGCAUCAGCCACGGCGCGGUGAAUACGUUCCCGGGCCUUGUACACACCGCCCGUCAAGCCAUGGGAGCCGGGGGUACCUGAAGUGCGUAACCGCGAGGAGCGCCCUAGGGUA
RNAcentral lists this ribosomal RNA (1433 nucleotides) under uncultured bacterium. Its description in RNAcentral is "16S ribosomal RNA". It matches the Rfam family "Bacterial small subunit ribosomal RNA". The record is from RNAcentral.